AACACUGUUAACCUGCGGUACCUGCGGAAGGAUCAUUACCGAGUUUACAACUCCCAAACCCCUGUGAACAUACCUAUACGUUGCCUCGGCGGAUCAGCCCGCGCCCCGUAAAACGGGACGGCCCGCCCGAGGACCCUAAACUCUGUUUUUAGUGGAACUUCUGAGUAAAACAAACAAAUAAAUCAAAACUUUCAACAAUGGAUCU
Molecule: unclassified non-coding RNA, 205 nt
Filed under: soil metagenome
Description: partial contains 5.8S ribosomal RNA, internal transcribed spacer 2, and large subunit ribosomal RNA
Source: RNAcentral